Molecule: ribosomal RNA, 470 nt
Filed under: uncultured bacterium
Lineage: Bacteria
Description: bacterial SSU rRNA
Rfam family: Bacterial small subunit ribosomal RNA
Source: RNAcentral
CGUAGACUCCUACGGGAGGCAGCAGUGGGGAAUAUUGCACAAUGGGCGCAAGCCUGAUGCAGCCAUGCCGCGUGUAUGAAGAAGGCCUCGGGUUGUAAAGUACUUUCAGCAGUGAGGAAGGUGGGUAUGUUAAUAGCAUACUCAUUUGACGUUAGCUGCAGAAGAAGCACCGGCUAACUCCGUGCCAGCAGCCGCGGUAAUACGGAGGAUCCAAGCGUUAUCCGGAAUCAUUGAGUUUAAAGGGUCCGUAGGUGGAUGAUUAAGUCAGAGGUGAAAUCCUGCAGCUCAACUGUAGAAUUGCCUUUGAUACUGGUUGUCUUGAAUUAUUGUGAAGUAGUUAGAAUAUGUGGUGUAGCGGUGAAAUGCAUAGAUAUCACAUAGAAUACCGAUUGCGAAGGCAGAUUACUAACAAUACAUUGACACUGAUGGACGAAAGCGUGGGGAGCGAACAGGAUUAGAUACCCUGGUAG